UUAAUGUUUCAAGCUUUCAUAUCUUCCUGGAAAUUCCAGUUGGUAUUAAACAAAAAAGUAAUGUUGAUGACAUUGUUCAAAAGCGCUACCAAUAUCAUCUCUCUUCCCAUUCCUUUAUUUCAUGGCUCACAUUAGGCAGCUUGACGACUUCCUUAGGACCUUUCAUAUCC
This is a non-coding RNA of Camellia sinensis, 170 nucleotides long. The record is from RefSeq and is a predicted model, not a curated record. NCBI's taxonomy places the organism in Eukaryota, Viridiplantae, Streptophyta, Magnoliopsida, Ericales, Theaceae.